Long non-coding RNA from Sebastes umbrosus (honeycomb rockfish), 1850 nucleotides. RefSeq lists it as uncharacterized. The record is from RefSeq and is a predicted model, not a curated record. The transcript is spliced from 3 exons. Lineage: Eukaryota; Metazoa; Chordata; Actinopteri; Perciformes; Sebastidae.
AAAGAGAUGAACAGAUGUUGACAAACUGAAUAAUUUGCAGUUGAAAAGGGGUAAUUUAUCACAAUAUAUCUUAUCGCAAAAUGUUUAAAAUCGCAAUAACAUCGUAUCUUAUCGCCCCUAUUUCAUCUGCAAAUGUUAACUGCAGUACCUUAUUCCACCAGUGAACUGGUUUGGGCCCAAUCUUAUAUGGAAAUAAGGCAACACUUCAUCUAAUUUUCAACUGUCACUUUCUCUGCAAUCAGAGCUGUAGCUGAUACUAAUCUGUUCUGCAAAUACUGCAAGUUUAUAUCCCAUAAAACCACAUUGUUUUGAAGUGAAAAUAUCAGCAGCAGAGUUAUCUGUUUAUCUGCCAUUUCAGCACAUUUAGUUGUUUAAACACUGGAAGCAGCUCGUGUUCCGUGACGUCCUGGAGGAAAUGGUGGCAGCAAAAAGCUAAGUUGCAGACGGUCAGACGACGACGACACACCCACUUCCCCCCCUCCGGGGCCUUUAUGUGACUUUAUAUAAAGCAUUCCUGAGUGCUGGUCGGGGCCCGGUGUGUUUACACAGCGCUGGGUGCUGCUUACCCUUGGCACUGGGUGUUUUGAGCCGCGCUGCUGGCACUUCUGGGGCAGCGCGGCUAAUAGGGGCUAGCGGGAGGAGGCAGACACACUGUACUCUGGAUAUCAGCCCGAGGGCUUUACGCUCUGCACUCCGGCUCAACGACAGCGCUCCGGCCACAACUUAGGGCACCUCAUUUCUGAGACAUGCUUCUUUCUUUUUUUUUCAUGCAAGUGGAAUGACGGAAACGUGCCUGUGACGGGAGAUAAUGGGAAAAUAUCCAGGACCUAAAAUAUCUUGUUGUGCUCACAGGAUUUGGGAAUGAGCAGGUAGAAAAUAAAUGGAGCUUUCCUCCUGCCUCAGACGAAGUUCAAUCAUAAGCCAAGAGUUUUUUUUUUCUCCCUCCUGUGCGACAACCCAGUGUCUAUAUCGAGCUGACGCCCCACCUUACCCCCUUCUCCUCCGGUCGCCCGUCAUUUUCUCCCUCUUUUCAUAUGUUUAAAGGGCAGUUUAUUUUCCAUUUGUAGGGGGAAAAUUAAUCUCUCUGCUCUGUGGUGGUGGCAGGCCUGGAUCCUGGAGGAGGUCUAUUACCUCUCCUGCCAAGUAGACUCUCCCCCCUCCAGGUUGAAUUACAUUAAUAAUACCUCCUUUAUAGCCAAUCAGCCGGACUAGUCGUAUAUUUCAGAACCAGUAAAAAUAAUUGAAGAAACCUCUGUGAGGAAACUGUGUUCAUACACUUUAAUCUCUUAUUCAAGAGGUUCAAAUUGGUUUUGGGGAAUAAAAAAAAAAAUGCAGCACAAAAGGAGGCGACGCUAAAGAGUUCUUGAGUAAAAAAAAUAUAACAUGACGUGUGGUGGUGUUUGUUUGGUGUGUGUGUGUGUGUGUGUGUGUGUGUGUGUGUGUGUGCACGGCCAUUUCAAUCAGUGCUUUAAUGUAAGACAGCUUGAGGUAUUUAUGACUAUGCAUCUUUACACAUCUGGACUAAUUCUGCAACACCUGCUCACAGCGCUACAGCAUGUACAGUAUAUCAUAUUAAAAUAACAGAACAAUUGCUCUUUUAAAGUUUGUUCAUGGACAGCUGACGGCAGUAUUGUAGAACGAUUUCUAUUAUGUUGCCACUGUUCAGAAAAAUACAGAGACAUUGUAGUAAAGAGGUCAUUCUUCUGUCUCCUGAAUCCAGAUCACAGCAGCAAGUCAAUGCGUUUUUAGUUAUGGUAAAUAGACUUGCACUUAAAUAGCGCUUUUCUAGUCUUCCGACCACUCAGAGCACUUUACACUACGAUCUAGUCUAAAUAUUCAUUCACACACCG